UACGGAGGGUGCGAGCGUUAAUCGGAAUUACUGGGCGUAAAGCGCGCGUAGGUGGUUUGAUAAGUCGGAUGUGAAAGCCCUGGGCUCAACCUGGGAAUUGCAUUCGAUACUGCCUGACUCGAGGAUGGUAGAGGGAAGCGGAAUUCCCGGUGUAGCGGUGAAAUGCGUAGAUAUCGGGAGGAACAUCAGUGGCGAAGGCGGCUUCCUGGACCAAUACUGACACUGAGUCGCGAAAGCGUGUGGAGCAAACAGG
This 253-nucleotide ribosomal RNA is filed under the name uncultured bacterium. Its description in RNAcentral is "partial 16S ribosomal RNA". It matches the Rfam family "Bacterial small subunit ribosomal RNA", at positions 524 to 776 of the family's 1533-position model. The record is from RNAcentral.